RNAcentral lists this ribosomal RNA (424 nucleotides) under uncultured bacterium. RNAcentral's name for it is "bacterial SSU rRNA". It matches the Rfam family "Bacterial small subunit ribosomal RNA", at positions 355 to 776 of the family's 1533-position model. The record is from RNAcentral.
UAAGGAAUAUUGGACAAUGGGCGCAAGCCUGAUCCAGCCAUGCCGCGUGAAGGAUGAAGGCCCUAUGGGUCGUAAACUUCUUUUAUACGGGAAAAAACCCCCGAUUGCGAUCGGGGUUGAUGGUACUGUAAGAAUAAGGGUCGGCUAACUUCGUGCCAGCAGCCGCGGUAAUACGAAGGACCCGAGCGUUAUCCGGAUUUAUUGGGUUUAAAGGGUGCGCAGGCGGACUAAUAAGUCAGUGGUGAAAGCCUGAUGCUUAACAUCAGAACUGCCAUUGAUACUGUUAGUCUUGAGUACGGUUGAGGUGGGCGGAAUGUGUCAUGUAGCGGUGAAAUGCUUAGAUAUGACACAGAACACCAAUUGCGAAGGCAGCUCGCUAAACCGUAACUGACGCUGAGGCACGAAAGCGUGGGGAGCAAACAGG